GGGAAAACAGACCAAAAUUCCCUUUCAGUGCUAUAGCUAGCAAGGCUGCAGACGUCACUUGACCCCAGGAACAGGGCCAGCAGCUAGCUGAGCUAACCUCCUGUCUGUUUCCUCCUCCCUCAGGCGUAUCAGUCACCUCCAGCAACACGGGCGUGCCAGAUAUCUCUGGAUCUGUGUACUCCAAAACCCAGGUAGGUGCCCGGCUCUGGACAGAAGUAGAAAAAGAGAGAGACAGAGAUGUGGUGGCUGAGGAUCGAACCCAGUGCCUCACAUGUGCGAGGCAGGUGCUCUUCCAUUCAGCCCCAGCCCCCACACUACCUUUUUUAAAUGGUCUCUAGAUUUCAGUUUUUCUAGGAGUUUGAAUUUAGCUCUCUGAGAAGAAACCACAAAGAUGAAUAGGAAGCCAGGUGUGCUAAAAGGCCUGUAAUCCCAGUGACUCAGAGCCUGAGGUAGAAGGAUUGAGAGUUCAAAGCCAGCCUCAGCAACUUAGCAACUGAGUGAGACCCUGUCUCUAAAUAAAAUACAGAAAAGGGCUGGGGAUGUGGCUCAGUGGUUAAUUGCCCCUUAGUUCAAUCCCAGGUACCAAAAAAAAAAAAAAAAGAAAUAGGAAGGUGAGGUGUGGUACAUUGUUAUAAUGUGAUGUGGGUUAUUGUGCAGUUGUCCUGGCUUUUUUGCCCAGGGGCAGGGAUGCCAAGGAUAGUUAGCAAAUUUUCCUGUUUAUGUACAACGCUAGUUAAUUUCACAUUCAUCCUUCUGUUUGAUCCCUACAACAGAGAGGUCAGUAGCAUCCCUGUUUCAAGUAUGAGGCAACUAAGGCUGAGAGAUUGGUAUUUUCCCAGGAUUGGGUAGCUGUUAAAAGGGCAAGAGUUGGGACUGAGACUUUUAUAUCUGACUCGAGAUAUUCUGUUCCUUCUGACUAUGCUGUUUUCUGAGGGUGGGGGAGCUUUGGCUCAGAAAUUCCCAGGAUUCCUUUGCUGAUACCUUUUAUUCUUUCUCCUUCUUUCUUCCUGGACAGCAGUCCUUUGAGAAACAAGGUUUUCAUUCCGGUACUCCUGCUGCCUCCUUCAACUUGCCUUCAGCCCUAGGAAGUGGGGGGCCCAUCAAUCCGGCCACAGCUGCUGCUUACCCACCUGCCCCCUUUAUGCACAUUCUGACCCCACAUCAGCAGCCGCACUCCCAGAUCCUUCACCAUCACCUGCAGCAGGAUGGCCAGGUAAUAGCCCUUCUCCCUCUCUCCUUUCCCUUCCUCUUCCUUCCUGUCCCUUUAAACUGCCUCCCCUUUCCUUUUCUUACCCUUCCUCACCACCACCUUCACCCAAUCCUCCCCAGCGCCAGCCAGGGGCACACAGCACAUACAGACACAAGCGCACAUAACACAAGCGGCCGGCAAAAGAAAUGUCAGAGAAGGGGCAAGAUCAAAACCCUUUUUGCCCAUUUCCUUUGGUGUCUUUUUUUCCUCCACCUCCUCCCAUGGCACAGUUGUCCUCAUCCCAUCAGACCUGGGUCACACCUUCCCUUUUACCUCUCCCAGCCUUUCCCCUUUCCUGACAUUAUAGCUUUCCCUUCUAAUGGUGGAGUUCUAUUGUCAAAGUUUGUCCCUUUAUUUUCCAUAUAUCCUGGUUCUGCCUCAGCUACCAUAUUUGCAGAUGAUUCUCUGUUGCCAGCGCCAGCAGGAGGAGCAGGUAAUGAAACUGAAUGAUGAUAUGCUUGAACCCACUCCUUUUCAGACCCCAUUUCACCUCCAAAGCCUCAGGGAACUUGAAAAGAUUGCGCGGUCACACAUCGGGAUACACAAACACAAAACACCUUGCUGAGCUCUCUGGCCUCCCUAUCCUCUGUUCUCCUUCCCUCCUCAAUACCCUCUUGAUCUUUCUGUCCUUCCCCAACUCUGGAAAAACACUUGGUUACCAGAAUGAAAAAGAUUGGUGGGGCAGAAUCUGGAGCCUGAGGCUUCAGACUGUCUCUCCUUUCUUGCCUGAAACAGGCUCAUAGAUGUGAUGUGUGGUGGUGGAGAGAUCCACGGGGUGGUACAAGAGACCUCUUGAGAGCUCCAUCAUAGGUGGCUGGAGACCUAGAAUUAAGGGGUUCCCUGCUCUCAGCUUUUCAAGUUGAGGCAUUUAUGGGACUUAAUGAAAAUGGAAUUACCUUGUGGUCACUCAUCUCCCAGAACCAUAAUUCUCAUA
This 2183-nucleotide long non-coding RNA is filed under the name Marmota monax (woodchuck). The record is from RNAcentral. Lineage: Eukaryota; Metazoa; Chordata; Mammalia; Rodentia; Sciuridae.